UGUUCGGAAUUAUUGGGCGUAAAGGGCAUGUAGGCGGUCUUGUAAGCUUGGGCGUGAAAGACCACGGCUCAACCGUGGGAUUGCGUUGAGAACUGCGAGGCUUGAGUGACGGAGAGGGAGCUAGAAUUCCUGGUGUAGGGGUGGAAUCUGUAGAGAUCAGGAAGAAUACCAAUGGCGAAGGCAAGCUCCUGGCCGAUGACUGACGCUGAGGUGCGAAAGUGUGGGGAUC
RNAcentral lists this ribosomal RNA (229 nucleotides) under uncultured bacterium. Its description in RNAcentral is "partial 16S ribosomal RNA". It matches the Rfam family "Bacterial small subunit ribosomal RNA", at positions 542 to 769 of the family's 1533-position model. The record is from RNAcentral.